AUACUUGUUCAAGUAUAGUAAGGCAGACUUUAUUCAGGACCUUCGAAAUAAGUAUACGGACCACUGUAAUGGGAUUUUGUAGUGGGGGAAAGAGAUUGGGCUCAACUCUGAACAUAGCAUGGGCAAGUAAGAAUUUAUAGCCAAGGAGCAAGAUAGUUAGGGGUAGGGCGAUCAGUGGAUGGAAAAUUAUUAAGAGGAUAUACAUCAGGGAGAUUCUGGCUUAAGUAACCUAACAUAAUUCUUGCUGAAGACGUGAUCAGACAUCAUCUGGGGAAUGGUGGAGGAUGAAGAACAGAUACCAAGGAUUGGGGAGGUUCUUGUUAAAACUAGAUUUUUUAACUGUUGCACAGAUAAGCCUAGGCUUGACUAAAGUUUGGUUGGGAGUGUAUCUUUGUCACAAUCAAAAGAUUCAUAUUAAAAUACUCAAUUGAGAAACAAGGAUAGAUAAAGUAACCGGUUUAGAUGUAUUUAUUGACGGAAAGAUUAGGUUGCUGGAAAACAUGAAAUCUAUAUAAUAAAAUAAUCCUACAUUACAUCUAUUUACAGGAUAAAAAUGGCAGAAUGAAAGAAUUAUGAGUGGAACUAGAGAAUAGGAAAGACAUGAACCAACGCCCAAAAUGAGAAAGAAGGACAUAUAAAGAAAAAGACAAAUACAAGUGAAAAAAAUAGACUAAUGGAUUAACGUCCCUGUCGUGUGACAUUUUCUGGUAUGACAGCUGAAGAUGUUGAACCGUAUGGUGCAGUUUUGCAAAUAGUGUAUGAAGUGGGUUGUAAGUUUUACCAGUAAUUGUCUAUAGAUACAAAAAGGAGCCAACCUCUUUUUUUUUCUUUUAGUGUGAUGUUCCUUGUUCUAUCUUCGAACUCUCAAAGGUAGCCUUUACACAGAUGUUCAAACUAAUUCUACCAGUGUCAUAUGUCUACCAAUCUCAUUACUUCCCUUGUAUGUACUUCUAGAGCAAAGAGCUCAUUACAGUAAGAAUGAUGGUAAAUUUUACUGAGGCAAACAAAGAUUUCUGAACGCGAGCAGUGUGUGUGAAAUGCUUAUGCACUAGCUGAUAGCAUAACUCUGGUCAAAGAAAUUUGGUCACUUAAAUAUUAUAAUUGAAUUUAGCCCCUAAAGUAGCUGUUCUUAACCUGGAAUCUGAAGAACAGCCUGUUGGUGGGGCUCCCAGGGAAUUUGUGAACCACUGAAAUUAUAUACAUAAUUUCAUGUCUGUGUACCGUGUACAUUUAUUUUUCUUACUUUUUUUUGAGAUGGAGUUUCGCUCUGUUGCCCAGCCUGGAGUGCAGUGGCACCACCUCAGCUCACUGCAAGCUCC
Molecule: long non-coding RNA, 1319 nt
Filed under: Homo sapiens (human)
Lineage: Eukaryota; Metazoa; Chordata; Mammalia; Primates; Hominidae
Description: non-protein coding TTC28-AS1:23
Rfam family: TTC28 antisense RNA 1 conserved region 2 (bases 551-707)
Source: RNAcentral